UAAAUGUUCUCCUGCGUGGAUCGCGUUCAGUGAUUUCAGGAAAAAUGGGUUUGAUGUUUUGGCCGAUAAAGGGCAGUGAAAAGAAAGCAUAGAAAAUAGCUGUCAUCUAUAUGCAAGUUUAGGAUUGCUCGCUCGGCUUGCGAGCAGCAGCAAUGAUCCCAAGGUGUGUUUGUUCAAAUUGCGUUUCUCAAGGCAGCAACCCUGGCAUUUUUUAUUC
This 217-nucleotide long non-coding RNA is filed under the name Selaginella moellendorffii. RNAcentral describes it as "long non-coding RNA (SMOE_LNC000341)". Lineage: Eukaryota; Viridiplantae; Streptophyta; Lycopodiopsida; Selaginellales; Selaginellaceae. The record is from RNAcentral.